This is a long non-coding RNA of Otolemur garnettii (small-eared galago), 837 nucleotides long. RefSeq lists it as uncharacterized. Lineage: Eukaryota; Metazoa; Chordata; Mammalia; Primates; Galagidae. The record is from RefSeq and is a predicted model, not a curated record. The transcript has 3 exons.
UUCUCUACCAUCUUAGUUCUAACUGGUUGGAACUGGUUCUGCCUCAGUCUUGUUUGAUCUGGUUACUCUGAAACUUUGUUUUGAGACUUCCUGACACAGUUAAUCAUUUCCUGCACAAUUAAGCAAUGCCCAGAGCAGUGCCUACCAGUUCCAUUUUCACUACUAAAAACACAGCUCCACUUUGACUGCCUGGCCCUAGGAAAGUCUCCCUCUGCUGAGCACUUCACCCAUGGAAACUAUGCAAUGAUGGUGUAAGACAGAAGGCAGAAGGCUCUGUCAGACAGCAACUCAGCUUUAACAAAGGGGACUAUUCCCAAGGCAGAACCUCUCUGUCCCCAGGAGACCAUCUGGAGAUUACCCAGAAUUCACCUGGUCUGGUGUGGGCUCUUCAUGAUGUUCCCAAAUCUCCCAAAGGCCGGAUUCCAGAGAGUCUCCUGUGGCCACGGUGGUGACUUUCGAUGUAGGAGGAGUCAGCGGCCAUUGCAAUCACAGUGCUCUGUAUGCGGCCGUGAGCUUCCUCCUGGUGACCACCUUGCUGUGGGAUAGCUAGAUACAGCCUACUUGACUGAUCCUGCAGACCUCCACACCCUGGACUGACUGUGUAGACAUGUGAUGACUUCUCAUUUACAGUGUGACCUCCUGUGACUUAAGCCUGCUUGCUUUAAACCUACCAAUUAAAACUCCCCACUGGAAAUCUGUGUCAAUAAUACCCUGGACUCAGUAUGGUCACUUGUUCCCUCUCUCUCCAUGCACUGCCUGACAAUCUGUAUGUGGCCUCUGGACAUGCAGUCUAUCUCCCAGCACCUGUAAGGAAUAAAAGCUUCCUUUUGUAAUGAU